Molecule: ribosomal RNA, 350 nt
Filed under: uncultured Pediococcus sp.
Lineage: Bacteria; Bacillati; Bacillota; Bacilli; Lactobacillales; Lactobacillaceae
Description: bacterial SSU rRNA
Rfam family: Bacterial small subunit ribosomal RNA (bases 1-205)
Source: RNAcentral
CGGGGCGGGGGCACUGUGGGACUCGUACGGGAGGCAGCAGUAGGGAAUCUUCCACAAUGGACGCAAGUCUGAUGGAGCAACGCCGCGUGAGUGAAGAAGGCUUUCGGGUCGUACAGACUCUGUUGUUAGAGAAGAACGUCUGGCAGAGUAACUGUUCAGCAGUGACGGUACCACCAGAUAGCCUGAUCUACUGGCACGUACUGCUGCCUCCCGUUUGGUGGCGGGUAGUUCUGGGGGAAAGUUGUUGGGCACUCCGCGGGGGAAGAAAGAUGGUUUCGUAUAUUGUUAGAAGGAUAAGCGUUAAGAGCCCGGGUAUUGCCCCUUAUUACCGUGCAACCACCCCGUAUCAA